GACAUCCUUUGGAUAUCUCUUCUAUAGACCGAAGGACAAUGUUGUCUUCGUUGCGAGGAGAGGAGUUUUCCGAGAGCGAGAACUCAUAAGCCAAGGAGACAGUGGGAGGCAAAUCGAGCUUGAAGAGAUUCAAGAGUCGAUAGAUGAAGGAACCUCUACCGCUGGCACUCAACCCGAGGAGGAAACUCCGGUUGAACCGAUUGACGAAUCCUUACCUCUUAGACGUUCCGAUAGAGUUAGAGUUCAACCCCAGUUUUAUGGUUUUCAUAUUACUACCGAAGGGGACACGUAUAUUAGUGAUGGUACACUAAUAAAUCUUGAUGAACCUAAUAGCUAUAAGGAAGCCAUGGCAGGCCCGGAGUCUGCAAAAUGGAAAGAGGCAAUGGAUAGCGAGAUCCAAUCCAUGUAUGAUAACCAAGUUUGGAAUUUGGUUGAUUAUGUGCCCGGACGUAAGACCGUUGGGUGCAAAUGGAUCUUCAAGAAGAAGACCGACGUGGAUGGAAACGUACACACAUAUAAAGCGCGAUUGGUUGCGAAGGGCUUUACUCAAACUCCCGGAGUUGACUAUGAUGAGACCUUCUCACCAGUUGCGAAGAUUAAAUCUAUUAGAGUGAUGCUAGCAAUUGCCGCAUUUCAUGAUUAUGAGAUUUGGCAAAUGGAUGUCAAGACCGCUUUCCUUAACGGAAAGUUGGCUGAGGAUGUUUACAUGGCUCAGCCAGAGGGGUUUGUGGAUCCGAAGCAUCCGAAUAGAGUGUGUAAGCUUGAGAAGUCCAUUUAUGGACUUAAGCAAGCGUCUCGCAGAUGGAAUCUUUGCUUCGAUGAGAAAGUCAAAGAGUUUGGAUUUGUACGAAGCGAAGACGAAUCUUGUGUAUAUGUCAAAGCCAGUGGGAGUAUAGUAAGCUUCCUCGUUCUAUAUGUCGAUGACAUAUUACUCAUAGGAAACGACAUCCCGACUCUGCAGGAGGUAAAGUCCUGGCUCGGGAAGUGUUUCGCUAUGAAGGACCUCGGAGAGGCUUCUUACAUUUUGGGAAUAAGGAUAGUAAGAGAAAGAAGUAAGAGACUAAUUGGACUUAGUCAGAAUACUUACUUAGAGAAGGUACUAAAACGUUUUAGUAUGGAAAACUCAAAGAAGGGAGAACUACCGAUACAAAGUAAUGCCAAAUUGAGUAAGACUCAAAGUCCGAGUACCGAAGCUGAGAUAGCAGAAAUGAGCCGAGUACCAUACGCUUCCGCAGUUGGCUCAAUCAUGUACGCUAUGACUUGUACUCGCCCUGAUGUAGCCUUCGCUUUGAGCAUGGUUAGCAGAUAUCAAGGGAAUCCUGGCAAAGCACAUUGGAUUGCGGUGAAGAAUAUCCUUAAGUACCUUCGGAGGACGAAGGAAUGGUUCUUAGUCCUCGGAGGGAGUGAUGACUUGAAGGUGCGAGGGUAUAGUGACGCCAGUUUUCAGACCGACAGGGACAACUACCGUUCGCAGUCGGGCUGGGUCUUUACCCUAAAUGGAGGAGCAGUGACAUGGAAGAGUUCCAAGCAGGAAACCGUAGCUGAUUCAACGUGCGAAUCAGAGUACAUUGCAGCGAGCGAAGCGUCGAAGGAGGCAAUAUGGCUAAAGAACUUCAUCGGUGAUCUUGGAGUCGUACCUGCCAUAAAGGAGCCAAUGGAGAUUUUCUGUGAUAACGAAGGUGCGGUUGCCUUAACCAAGGAACCGAGGGAUCAUGGUAGAUCAAGACAUAUCGACAGAAAGUAUCACUUCAUUAGACAUCGUGUAGAAGAAGGACAACUCGUAGUGAAGAGGAUAUCAUCAGAAGAUAACCCAGCAGAUCCGCUUACGAAGGGACUGAGUAGGGUUAAGCACUUGCAGCAUGCUAGGAGUAUUGGGCUGAAGGAUGAUAUUAGCAUAGAUUAGAUAGUAUUAGAAACGUGUAAUAGAUAAAUGUAAUUGACAUUUGAUGAUUAAAUAAAGGAGUUUUAUUUAUGAGUAAUGUUACUAUCUUAUGUUAAUUGUUUAGCUAUUGUUUCACUUUGCAUGUUUUGACUUCCAGAAUAAUUGAGGUUAUUAGGAAUAAUCGAAUUAUUCAAAUGGUCCACAAUCGUUCAUAUGUUGGAAGUAGAUAUGAAAGAAGAUUGUCAUGAAUUGGUGUGUAGAAUGUCUAAAUGGUGUUAGACAUAGCAAAGGAUUGCUGCAACGUUCAUGAGUGCUUAUGAACUAGUUUUGAGCAUUGGAAUAAACCCGCGCUUGCUGGAAUCACCUUAUGGAAUACGAUAUAAAAGGUGAUCGCAAGACGAUAAUAUCAUAUAGUCUUAAAACCUAGAUAUAUGGUUUAUUAUUUGUUAAUUGAUUGUACAUUGAUAAUACGAAAACGCAUCAGUAACUUGGUGUUAUAAAACGUAUUGUUGUGUAUAGUUGGUUAAUGAAUAAGUAAAUGCAUAUAAGUCGAAGUUUAUCUGUAACUUUUAUCUAAGAAGGUAAAAGCGAUAUCUCGGCCGCUCGAUGAUUUGAUUUGACUUAUGUGCCGGGCCCGGUCAGAACUGAAUUGAUGUGUUCGAUUAAGUUCUAUGUCAAAUAAAUCAGAGAUCGAGAAACCUAAAUGCUUGACUAACCAUUCCAUAGGAUUGUCAGCAUGAUAUCUAACAGAGGACUGUACGUUCCCUUAUCUAAAGGACAAGAUUGAUUAGAUCAGAGUUGACAGCGUCUUUGAGAGCUACGAUUGCAAACCGAAUUGUACUUGUAUAGUUACUAGACUUAUCCAAGUGGGAGACUGUUGGAAUAGUGUCUAAGGCUGUAACUAUAUCCGGUUGUGCAUGGUCCUUUUGGGUUGCCUUCACCAUAGCAACUUGAUAGGAUGAUUUAUUAAGAGAGAAUAAAUAUUAUUAAUAUAUUAUGGGAAUAAUAUAAUGAAUAAUAUAUUUGUUAUUUGAUUAAUAUAAGUCAUAGAAUUAAUUAGAAUUAAUUUGGUGACUUAAAGAGAUUAAUUAAAUAAAGGGGUAUAAACUGUCAAUUGUUUGAUAGUUAAGCUUUAAACUGUAAAUCCAUUUGGAUAUACUAUGGACGAAUUCUAAGAGGAUUAGGAUAGCUAAAAUCGUCCAUCAGAGUUAUCUAGGAAUGGAUUUGGAUAGCCUUAAGAGAAGAUUAUCUGAUAGGGACUUAUCUGUAAUCAUUAAGGAAUCUACAAGUAUAAAUAGACCCCAUGGGAUAGGGAAUUCGAUACUUCUGAAAAAGCAAGAGAACUCUGGUCGAAUUCCUCCCCUCUCCUCUCUCCCAAAUCAUCCUCCUUGCUUUGGUGUUUGUAAGCCAUUAGAGGAGUGACAUUUGUGACUCUAGAAGCUCCAAGACCUCAAGAUCAACAAGGAACUCAAAGGUAUGAUUCUAGAUCUGUUUCAAUGUUCUUAUUUAACCUAAUUAGUAAUUAGAAGUCUUGGAUUCAAAGCAUGUUUAUUAGAAAGCCUAGAUCCAAGCAUUAGGGUUUUGCAUGCGCACAUAGGAAAGUUCUUAUGGCUAAAACCCAUCAAAAUUGGCACUUCAUCUCAAGUAGAGAACCCCUGGCCGAAUUGCCUCCCCUCUCCUAUCUCCCAAAUCAUCCUCCUUGCUAUUUGGUGUUUGUAAGCCAUUAGAGGAGUGACAAUUGUGACUCUAGAGCUCCAAGACAACAAGAUCAAACAAGAGAUUCAAAGGUAUGAUUCUAGAUCUGAUUUAGUAUUGUUCUUAUACCUAAUUAGUCAUUAGAAGUCUUGGAUUCAAAGCAUGUUUAAUUAGAAAGCCUAGAUCCAAGCAUUAGGGUUUUGCAUGCGCACAUAGGAAAGUUCUUAUGGCUAAAACCCAUCAGUGGUAUCAGAGACUAGAUUGGUUUCUAUUGAAUUGAUGCAUUGGUUGCUUGUUUGAUGCCUUUAAAAUUCCAAUUUUGUGUUUCUGUCUGAUGGACUCGGUGAGUCCCAUAGUGGACUCGGCGAGUCCAUUGGGGUACUCGGCGAGUCCAAGCGUCAGAAAGAGCUAAUUUCGGGAUUUCUUGUUGUUUAUCUUUGAUAUACUUCCCUUAAUCAUAGUAGAUCAAUAUAAAUCCGAUUUUAUGAUAUAUAUGAGUAUAUUCUUUAUCUAAUUGAAGAUAUUUAUCAAUUAAUAAAAUAUUUUUUUCCUUAUCUUUGAGAUACUUGCUUUAAAUUGUCGCUUGUUUGUUUGAAACUUAACUGCAAAAUUCGAUUUUUGUGUUUCUGAGUCAUGGACUCGGCGAGUUGGCCUGACUCGGCGAGUCCCUUGGUGCACUCGGCGAGUCCAAGCGUCAGGAAUGGCCAGAUUCGGGAUUUCUUCAUGAUUAUCUUAUGGAAACUUACCUUAAUCAUAUUAGAUCAACCCUAAUCCGAUUUUUUGAUAUAUAUGACUAUAAUCUUGAUCUAAUUAAAGAUAUUUAUCAACUAAUAAAAUAUUUAAUUUCCUUAUAUGAUAAUUAAUUAAUUAUUUUGAUUAAUUUGGUAAUUAUCUUGCAAGAAAUCUUGAAUAAAUCAAAUAUAGAUAAUUAGGAAAUUAAUUGUUAAUUAAAAUUAUUUGUUAUUUGAUCCUCCAUGUUUUAAAUGGUUAAAACUUGUCCUCAUGUUUUGAAAUUUAUAUUUUGUGAUGAAAAGUUUUAAUUUAGACAAUUUAAAUUUCAAACCCUAGAUUUUUAAAAGGUUUCAAAUACAACCCUAUACUAAUAUUAUAUUUCAAGAAUAAUAUAUAUAUGUAUAACUAAAAUGCUUUUCUUACCGUUAGUAGGCCUCAUUCACGAAGUCGAUCUAUAAGGCGGGUAUAAGGUUGCAGCCUACAAAAUGGGGCUUAAUGGGUGUACACUCACACCCAACGCUUGCUUGAUCGGUGGAGGGUCAUUAGCCGAACGGGUAGGAUAGGGCAACCUCAUCCUCUCAUUAAAAGUAUAAUAAGUAAUACAAAGUAACUACACAUUUUUAUAAUAAAUUCCCAAUCUUAGUUACUUUACGAAAGUGAAUUAAUGCAAUCGCAUGAAAUUACACUUUGCACCCUUGCUAAGAAGUUAGUGGAGCGUGUGUGGUUUACCGGCACACUAAUUGGUUCUAAGCAAAGGUGGCAAAGGGUGAUUCAUUGUUUAUCAUAGUUCGAUGGAGCGUGUGUGGUUUACCGGCACAUCGAAUAGGUGAUCGUUACAAUGAAGGCACCAUGUGAAUUUGCAUGGUAAUUCACACCCGCUUUGUGAUCCUCGGUAUCCCAGUCACAAACAAGAGGGGCAUAUCGAGAUUUAAACAUGCCAUUGAAUAGUUUCAAUGAAUCUCAUCCGAACCUAGGAAUUCUCAAUACAUUUAGGACUUAUAGUUUGGUUUUUAUGGUGGAGAAUUAGUGAAUCGUCAUUCACUUACCUUCAAUUUAUUUGCAUGUUAGAUUACGGCAUCCCUUUUCUAAUAUGUAAAUAUUGUUGUUGGAUCCUAGCCCUAAUUUUUCUUAUUGGGUGAUAAUUAGGGAUUCAUAUUCUAAUCUAUCUUUGUCCUUUCUAUUUGUAGAUGUCGAACGCAAACAACGUUGCUGCUAGUUCUUUCACAUUGAUGAGCCUUUGCCAAAAGGUCACUUUCGAUGGAACGAACUUUAGUGAAUGGAUAAGAUACAUUCGCACCAUUGCUCGCUAUGAGGAUAAGGAGUAUGUCCUCGACGAGCAGCUCGAGAAAAUCAACUCUGAAAUCGCUACUCCGGGUGAAACGACCGCUUUUGAAAGUCAUGAGCACGAUGCAACGAAGGUACAUUGCAUCAUGAUAGCCACCAUGAACUCCGAAUUCCAAAAGUCCUAUGAGGACAUGUACCCGUACGAGAUGCAUCAAGACUUAUUGGAGAGAUACCACCAAAACGCGAGACAAGAGCGUUAUGAGAUUUUCACUAACAUGAUUUCCNNNNNNNNNNCUUUAGGAAAAGUGAAUCGAUGCAAUCCCAUGAAAUUACACUUGGCCCCCUUCGCAAGUUAAAUGUUGACUUUGGGGAAGACUUGGCGAUCGACAUAGUGCUUCACUCUAUGCCUCCGAUGUACAAUCAAUUUCGGUUGACCUACCACAUGAACAAAGAGGAGGUCACCCUAAGCAAACUCCAAGGUCUUUUGAGGCUCGCUGAGAGCAACUUCAAAGACAAGUCUGUUGCACCAACUCCCAAUCCACCCGUUGCUCCUGUCUUGGUUAUUGGUCAACGACAGGGAAAGAAGAGGAAGGCUUCUUCUAAGAACUAUCGCAAGGUUAAAGCCCAAGAUGGUGCCUCUUCUAGUGGGACCAAAGUUGAUCCCGCUAAGCCCUGCCCUAACCCUAAGGAGGCAGAGUGCCACCACUGCCACAAGAUAGGACAUUGGAAGAGAAGCUGCCCAGAGUACCUGCAAGCCAUCAAGGAAGGAAAGAUCAAGCCGUCUUUCGCAGGUAUAUACACAAUUAAAUCUAACGAUUCUAAUCAUGCUAUUUCUUGGGUUCUUGAUACCGGUUGUGGUUACCACAUUUGUUCUAAUGUGCAGGGACUAAGAAGAAGUAGGGAUGUGGAGCAAGGAAGAAUCAAUCUAAUCAUGGGGAACAGAAGAUCGUCGCCUGUGACCAAGAUUGGAGUGUAUUCUUUAGUGCUUAGGAAUAAUUUAUGUUUAGAUUUGAACAAUUGUUGCUAUUCGCCAGAAAUGGCUAGAAACAUCAUUUCAUUUCAUGGUUUAUAUAGACAAGGUUUUAGAUUUUCUUUUAAUAAUGAGAAUGGUUCUAUUUUGGCUUAUCUAAAUGGUGUCUUUUACUUUGAAGCUAUACCAUGUAAUGGAAUUUAUGAAACCGUUAUGAUUGUUGAUAACUUAGGAAAUGAUGUUUUGAAUAUAGAUUCUUCCACUAGUAUGGAUAAAGCAUCCUUGUGGCAUUGUCGUCUUGGACAUGUCAACAAGAAACGCAUAGCCCAACUCCAAAAGGAUGGAGUGUUGGAGUCAUUCGACCUUAGGGAAGAUGACACAUGCGAGUCUUGUUUACUUGGAAAGAUGACUAAGUCACCCUUCACGAGUACAUGUGAAAGGGGUGAGGGUCUAUUGGACCUAAUACAUACCGAUGUAUGUGGACCGUUUAGAUCAACCACGAAGGAUGGGAACCGCUUCUAUGUGACUUUUACCGAUGACUAUAGUAGAUAUGGGUAUAUCUACUUAAUCAAGCAAAAGUCAGACACCUUUGAAAAGUUCAAAGAGUUCAAGAAUGAAGUGGAGAAUCAAUUGGGCAGGAAAAUCAAGAUGCUUCGAUCCGAUCGAGGAGGAGAGUACCUAAGUCUUGAAUUCCACGAUUAUCUCAAGGAGUGUGGAAUAGUUUCACAAUUGACGCCUCCUAGGACACCGCAGUUGAAUGGUGUGGCAGAAAGGCGUAAUCGAACCUUAUUGGAUAUGGUUCGCUCUAUGAUGAGUCGUGCUUCACUACCUAUCUCUUUUUGGGGGUAUGCCUUAGAGACUGCCGCCCAUAUCCUUAACCGAGUCCCUACUAAGAAGGUUGCCAAAACACCUCACGAGAUGUGGACAGGGAAAGCUCCCUCGUUGGCACAUAUCAAGGUUUGGGGUUGCGAGGCUUUCGUAAGACGAGAUACUCACGACAAGCUUGAACCUCGAAGUGAGCGAUGUAUUUUCAUCGGCUACCCGCAGACAUCCUUUGGAUAUCUCUUCUAUAGACCGAAGGACAAUGUUGUCUUCGUUGCGAGGAGAGGAGUUUUCCGAGAGCGAGAACUCAUAAGCCAAGGAGACAGUGGGAGGCAAAUCGAACUUGAAGAGAUUCAAGAGUCGAUAGAUGAAGGAACCUCUACCGCUGGCACUCAACCCGAGGAGGAAACUCCGGUUGAACCGAUUGACGAAUCCUUACCUCUUAGACGUUCCGAUAGAGUUAGAGUUCAACCCCAGUUUUAUGGUUUUCAUAUUACUACCGAAGGGGACACGUAUAUUAGUGAUGGUACACUAAUAAACCUUGAUGAACCUAAUAGCUAUAAGGAAGCCAUGGCAGGCCCGGAGUCUGUGAAAUGGAAAGAGGCAAUGGAUAGCGAGAUCCAAUCCAUGUAUGAUAACCAAGUUUGGAAUUUGGUUGAUAAUGUGCCCGGACGUAAGACCGUUGGGUGCAAAUGGAUCUUCAAGAAGAAGACCGACGUGGAUGGAAACGUACACACAUAUAAAGCGCGAUUGGUUGCGAAGGGCUUUACUCAAACUCCCAGAGUUGACUAUGAUGAGACCUUCUCACCAGUUGCGAAGAUAAAAUCUAUUAGAGUGAUGCUAGCUAUUGCCGCAUUUCAUGAUUAUGAGAUAUGGCAAAUGGAUGUCAAGACCGCUUUCCUUAAUGGGAAGUUGGCUAAGGAUGUUUACAUGGCUCAGCCAGAGGGGUUUGUGGAUUCGAAGCAUCCGAAUAGAGUGUGUAAACUUAAGAAGUCCAUUUAUGGACUUAAGCAAGAAUCUCGCAUAUGGAAUCUUUGCUUCGAUAAGAAAGUCAAAGAGUUUGGGUUUGUACGAAGCGAAGAUGAGUCGUGUGUAUAUGUCAAAGCCAGUGGGAGUAUAGUAAGCUUUCUCGUUCUAUAUGUCGAUGACAUAUUACUCAUAGGAAACGAAAUCCCGACUCUGCAGGAGGUUAAGUCCUAGCUCGGGAAGUGCUUCGCUAUGAAGGACCUCGGAGAGGCUUCCUAUAUUUUAGGAAUAAG
This 8644-nucleotide long non-coding RNA is filed under the name Lactuca sativa (garden lettuce). Its description in RNAcentral is "long non-coding RNA (LSAT_LNC000932)". The record is from RNAcentral. Lineage: Eukaryota; Viridiplantae; Streptophyta; Magnoliopsida; Asterales; Asteraceae.